This 465-nucleotide ribosomal RNA is filed under the name uncultured bacterium. RNAcentral's name for it is "partial 16S ribosomal RNA". It matches the Rfam family "Bacterial small subunit ribosomal RNA", at positions 338 to 795 of the family's 1533-position model. The record is from RNAcentral.
CCUACGGGAGGCAGCAGUAGGGAAUCUUCCACAAUGGGCGAAAGCCUGAUGGAGCAACGCCGCGUGGGUGAAGAAGGUCUUCGGAUCGUAAAACCCUGUUGUUAGAGAAGAAAGUUCGUGAGAGUAACUGUUCACGUUUCGACGGUAUCAAACCAGAAAGCCACGGCUAACUACGUGCCAGCAGCCGCGGUAAUGCGUAGGUGGCAAGCGUUAUCCGGAUUUAUUGGGCGUAAAGGGAACGCAGGCGGUCUUUUAAGUCUGAUGUGAAAGCCUUCGGCUUAACCGGAGUAGUGCAUUGGAGACUGGCAGACUUGAGUGCAGAAGAGGAAGGUGGAACUCGAUGUGUAGCGGUGAAAUGCGUAGAUAUAUGGAAGAACACCAAUGGCGAAGGCAGCUCUCUGAUCUGUAACUGACACUGAGGUUCGAAAGCGUGGGUAGCAAACAGGAUUAGAUACCCUGGUAGUC